UACGGGGGGGAGCAAGCGUUGUUCGGAUUUACUGGGCGUAAAGGGCGCGUAGGCGGCGUGACAAGUCACUUGUGAAAUCUCCGGGCUUAACUCGGAACGGUCAAGUGAUACUGUCGUGCUAGAGUACAGAAGGGGCAACUGGAAUUCUCGGUGUAGCGGUGAAAUGCGUAGAUAUCGAGAGGAACACCUGCGGCGAAGGCGGGUUGCUGGGCUGAUACUGACGCUGAGGCGCGAAAGCCAGGGGGAGCGAACGGGG
RNAcentral lists this ribosomal RNA (256 nucleotides) under uncultured bacterium. RNAcentral's name for it is "partial 16S ribosomal RNA". It matches the Rfam family "Bacterial small subunit ribosomal RNA", at positions 524 to 777 of the family's 1533-position model. The record is from RNAcentral.